AGUCUUCUCUGCAGACACCAGCCUGGUGUCCUCCUUCAUCCCAGGCUGCCAGGCUAGGCAGGGGACAGCGGCUGCCCUGGUCCUCACAGCCCUGGCUACGGGGCUGGUGACAGCCAGAUCCUCAUGCUUCUGCGACCUGAGCGCUGCCUUCAGACACCUCUCUGCUGGCGUGUUCCUGGGUCCAUGAUGGAAGAAGGAAAAGUAUUUUUAAAAGACAAUCUGAAGCUCAUACUGUGACUGCAACAUAAAAUGUGUUCACCUGAGGAGACUGCUUUCAUCGCCAGUGUGUCACAGAUGGUGGAAACCUCAGAAGGCCACAGUCCAGAGUAGGGGCUUAAUGCAAGCUGCUGGAACUGAAUAAAGGUCUCUGAUGGUUCUGGUUUCCUGGGCACCUAGAAUAAGUGUGUCACCAUUUGUCCUGAAGCUGACUUCUCUGAGCUGGAUGGCACCCUGGACAUCAACCAGCCCUUCACCUUCACGUCACACAGGAGGGACACUGGUCCAUAGAGAGGAUGCCUGCUCUGGUCACCAGCUGGAGAGUGGCAGACCUUGGGUACCUGACCUUUGGACUCUGCCACACAGAGCACUUCCUCAGUCCCUCCUGCUGCCCCUGGCAGGGUGGAGCUGGCAGGGCAGCUGAUCCAGGACCGUCCACUUCCAAGCCAGCAGGAGGAUGGAAAAGCAGAAUGGAGGGGAAACAACCUCCUUUGCAGGGCGUGACUCGGAAGUUGGACACAUCAUUUCCAGCCACAUUCCAUGGACCAGA
Molecule: long non-coding RNA, 766 nt
Filed under: Homo sapiens (human)
Lineage: Eukaryota; Metazoa; Chordata; Mammalia; Primates; Hominidae
Description: non-protein coding SPATA3-AS1:6
Source: RNAcentral